GAAGGUAUAGUUCAAGUGGUAGAGUGUAUGUUUAGUAUACACAAGGUCCUGGGUUCAAUUCCCAGUACCUCCU
Transfer RNA from Camelus ferus (Wild Bactrian camel), 73 nucleotides. It matches the Rfam family "tRNA". From Rfam's summary of the family: Transfer RNA (tRNA) molecules are approximately 80 nucleotides in length. Their secondary structure includes four short double-helical elements and three loops (D, anti-codon, and T loops). The record is from Rfam. NCBI's taxonomy places the organism in Eukaryota, Metazoa, Chordata, Mammalia, Artiodactyla, Camelidae.